Molecule: ribosomal RNA, 500 nt
Filed under: uncultured bacterium
Lineage: Bacteria
Description: partial 16S ribosomal RNA
Rfam family: Bacterial small subunit ribosomal RNA
Source: RNAcentral
GACGAACGCUGGCGGCGUGCUUAACACAUGCAAGUCGAACGGACUAUUUCAUUUCGGUGGAAUAGUUAGUGGCGAACGGGUGAGUAAUGCAUCGGAACGUGCCCGGUAGUGGGGGAUAACUGCUCGAAAGAGCAGCUAAUACCGCAUACGACCUGAGGGUGAAAGGGGGGGAUCGCAAGACCUCUCGCUAUUGGAGCGGCCGAUGUCGGAUUAGCUAGUUGGUGGGGUAAGGGCCCACCAAGGCGACGAUCCGUAGCUGGUCUGAGAGGACGACCAGCCACACUGGGACUGAGAAACGGCCCAGACUCCUACGGGAGGCAGCAGUGGGGAAUUUUGGACAAUGGACGCAAGUCUGAUCCAGCCAUGCCGCGUGCGGGAAGAAGGCCUUCGGGUUGUAAACCGCUUUUGUCAGAGAAGAAAUCUUCUGGGUUAAUACCUCGGGAGGAUGACGGUAUCUGAAGAAUAAGCACCGGCUAACUACGUGCCAGCCGCCGCAGUAA